Molecule: ribosomal RNA, 440 nt
Filed under: uncultured bacterium
Lineage: Bacteria
Description: partial 16S ribosomal RNA
Rfam family: Bacterial small subunit ribosomal RNA
Source: RNAcentral
CCUACGGGUGGCAUCAGUGGGGAAUAUUGCACAAUGGGGGAAACCCUGAUGCAGCUACGCCGCGUGUGUGAAGAAGUAAUUCGUUAUGUAAAGCUCUAUCAGCAGGGAAGAAAAUGACGGUACCUGAGUAAGAAGACGCGGCUAACUACGUGCCAGCAGCCGCGGUAAUACGUAGGGGGCAAGCGUUAGCCGGAUUUACUGGGUGGAAAGGGAGCGUAGACGGGAGUGCAAGUCUGGAGUGAAAGGCGGGGGCUUAACCCCCGGACGGCUCUGAAAACGGUACGGCUGGAGUGCAUGAGAGGUAAGUGGAAUUCCUAGUGUAGCGGUGAAAUGCGUAGAUAUUAGGAGGAACACCAGUGGCGAAGGCGGCUUACUGGACUGUAACUGACGUUGAGGCUCGAAAGCGUGGGGAGCAAACAGGAUUAGAUACCCCAGUAGUC